Hebeloma cylindrosporum is the source of this 106-nucleotide transfer RNA. It matches the Rfam family "tRNA". From Rfam's summary of the family: Transfer RNA (tRNA) molecules are approximately 80 nucleotides in length. Their secondary structure includes four short double-helical elements and three loops (D, anti-codon, and T loops). The record is from Rfam. Lineage: Eukaryota; Fungi; Basidiomycota; Agaricomycetes; Agaricales; Hymenogastraceae.
GCCGCGUUGGCGUAGUGGUAGCGCGUCUCACUUGUAUCGCCCUUUCGGCCCGCCUGGGCCGUUGUGAGACAUGAGAAGGUCACUCGUUCAAUCCGGGUACGUGGCA